CCCUACGGGGCGCAGCAGUAGGGAAUUUUCGUCAAUGGGCGCAAGCCUGAACGAGCAAUGCCGCGUGAACGAGGAAGGUCUUCGGAUCGUAAAGUUCUGUUGAAAGGGAAAAAGAGCGGAGAGAGGAAAUGCUUUCUGAUUGAUAUUACCCUUCGAGGAAGUCACGGCUAACUACGUGCCAGCAGCCGCGGUAAUACGUAGGUGGCGAGCGUUAUCCGGAAUGAUUGGGCGUAAAGGGUGCGUAGGCGGCCUGCUAAGUCUGGAGUGAAAGGUACCGGCUCAACCGGUACAGGCUCUGGAAACUG
RNAcentral lists this ribosomal RNA (305 nucleotides) under uncultured bacterium. RNAcentral describes it as "bacterial SSU rRNA". It matches the Rfam family "Bacterial small subunit ribosomal RNA", at positions 337 to 635 of the family's 1533-position model. The record is from RNAcentral.